RNAcentral lists this small RNA (827 nucleotides) under Pongo abelii (Sumatran orangutan). RNAcentral describes it as "retained intron". The record is from RNAcentral. Lineage: Eukaryota; Metazoa; Chordata; Mammalia; Primates; Hominidae.
AGGGAAUUAUACACUGGAACAGUGUUUCUGUCUUUUUGUAAUAUUCUUUUUUUUUUUUUUCAUAAUUUCAGGGACAGCCAAGAUAGAAACAGCUGUGACUUCGACCCCAUCUGCUUCUGGGCAGUUCAGCAAGCCUUUCUCAUUUUCUCCAUCAGGGGGCAACACCCUCCACUAAAGAGUCAAGCCAGCUGGAUGCAUUCUCAUUUGGUGGGGGAAGCAAACCUUCUUAUGAGGCCAUUCCUGAAAGCUCACCUCCCUCAGGAAUCACAUCCGCAUCAAACACCACCCCAGGAGAACCUGCCACAUCUAGCAGCAGACCUGUGGCACCUUCUGGAACUGCUCUUUCCACUACCUCUAGUAAGCUGGAAACCCCACCGUCCAAGCUGGGAGAGCUUCUGUUUCCAAGUUCUUUGGCUGGAGAGACUCUGGGAAGUUUUUCAGGACUGCGUGUUGGCCAAGCAGAUGAUUCUACAAAGCCAACCAAUAAGGCUUCAUCCACAAGCCUAACUAGUACCCAGCCAACCAAGACGUCAGGCGUGCCCUCAGGGUUUAAUUUUACUGCCCCCCCAGUGUUAGGGAAGCAAACGGAGCCCCCUGUGACCUCCUCUGCAACCACCACCUCAGUAGCACCACCAGCAGCCACCAGCACUUCCUCAACUGGCGUUUUUGGCAGUCUGCCGGUCACCAGUGCAGGAUCCUCUGGGGUCAUCAGUUUUGGUGGGACAUCUCUAAGUGGUGGCAAGACUAGUUUUUCAUUUGGAAGCCAACAGACCAAUAGCACAGUGCCCCCAUCUGCCCCACCGCCUACUACAGCUGCCACUCCCCUU